RNAcentral lists this non-coding RNA (84 nucleotides) under Streptomyces lincolnensis. RNAcentral describes it as "Streptomyces RNA 6106". It matches the Rfam family "Streptomyces RNA 6106". Rfam says of the family: Identified by deep sequencing of transcriptome at the end of exponential growth phase. Appears smaller on northern blot than sequencing transcript. This indicates processing step. Lineage: Bacteria; Bacillati; Actinomycetota; Actinomycetes; Kitasatosporales; Streptomycetaceae. The record is from Rfam by way of RNAcentral.
ACGCCGCCCCCGGCGGCGUCCGUGGCCUGAAAAGGGCCAGCUCGCGGGGGUGGUGCCGUGUCGGCGCAGCACCACCCCCGCUUC